Long non-coding RNA from Bombus huntii, 6425 nucleotides. RefSeq lists it as uncharacterized. The record is from RefSeq and is a predicted model, not a curated record. The transcript has 3 exons. NCBI's taxonomy places the organism in Eukaryota, Metazoa, Arthropoda, Insecta, Hymenoptera, Apidae.
GAUCAUUAAAUUUAUUAAAUUUCAACAAAAUAAACGGAUAAUAGGUAUGUACUAACUUUUCAAAGCUAACGAUGUUGUAGUUAAGCGAACGUAGAUUAAAUAACCGUGCAUAAUUUAUGGCAUUUAUAGCUGUAUCUCCUUCCUUCAAAAAAUCAUCAUUAACGCAGUCCAAUAAUCCAUCGGAUCUGAAUUCUAUCCGUGCGCGUACAUCGAGGAUCAAAUUACCCAUUAUACCCGAUUUGCCAAUAAAUCGAGACCACGUGUAUUCGUGCAAAUUGUAUCGAAUACGGGUUCUAUUUGUCCACGCAAUCCCUUCUUUGACUUUCCUUCGUUAACGAUUAAUCGUGAUCAAUGAUAAUACAAUGAAAAACGUUUACUCUUUAACCUAGCUUUCGAGGAUGAGCCAGGAGAAUCGAAUAGAAAAGAAUGUCUCUUUCGGCAAUUCAAAAAAGUCGGGUUGUCAGAGACAUCAGCAUAGAUGGAAACAAGGAAGAUGAGGGUUUCGCGCAACCUAAAUUCGCGUAACAUUUUUAUCCGUUUUCAUGUUCCAAUUUUACCCUUUGAAGCAUCGACACGCAACUAAGAAGCACGUAAUGCGAUUCUAUUUUUCCAUUUAUCGUUCAUCCCUUUGUCCAGCACUCGCAGAGCGUCGCAUUUAAAGCAUUAUCCACUCGAUCCGAACAAAAAAGAAACGCAAUUAACGGGGACGAGGUAUACAUGCGUGUUUCGAUCGGAAAAACUCGUGGAGAUCGGAACGUAAUUUCCAUGCGCGAUAUCGACUGUCGCAGCGCGGACUUGACACUCGAUAUUCCGGCAAAAUACCUGGUAAAUUUAUUACCGAUAACAGAAUUUCGAACAGUUCGAUGGAACAACCUCUGGCGGGGCGGAAAAAAUUGACGUCGAAAAAAAAAAAAAAAAAAUAUAGGAGUGUCGGGGGAAAAAAUAUCGGGAAAGCCUGUUGUCCAGCUGGUCGUAGUACCGGGAUUUUCAUCUCAAAAAUCCAGGUUCUCCAAUUAGGGAGGGUGCUGCUAACGGCGCGUGCGUGUGCAUGUCAACGAUAUAAAGAAAGGAAAAAAACAUUUCUCCGACCUUUUCUUUUUCCUUUUUCAUUUAAAUAUAUACUGCUCGUGACUCGACAGCUCGUGUAUGCUUUCCAAGGUAAAUGGCAAUUUUCUACGUACAAGAGAGGCAGGAAAUUAGAAAGGUUCGUCGAGAUGGCAAACGGAUAGGACCCAUGGCCCGAAAAUAAUUAUCAAUUAUAAAUUAAUUUCGAAUUAAUGAGCGAAAACCGGCUUCGUGGCGCGCGCGCCGCUCCACAAUGAAUCCCUCUCCCCGGGGCUAACUCGUUACUACAGUUGUUGCUGCUGCUGCCAGCCGUUGGUGACGCUACUACCGGCAGCUAAUUAACUAUUAAUUAAGAACUUAAUUCCAAUUAUAUGUGUUCUUCGACUAAUUGGAUCCACGAAACACAUUGCUAACGUCACACGGUUACAUAGAUACGAUUACUACGGCUAUCUUCAUAUUUCUUCCUAUGAAAUUAUUUCCAUCGAAGUUUUCACAGUUCAUAUUAGUAGCAACGCAUUUGCAAUAUCGUGUGCGAUAGUUUUAUCGCAAGUGAAAUAAUAAGAAUCGCGUGAAAGAACAAUGAAAGGAUGGCACGAUCUUGAAUGUGUACGAGCGUGAGUUCUAAAAAACGUUCCUUUGAGAUCGUACGCGCAAAUUUGUAACUCGUGUUUUGUCUCGUUGUGUCGCUUGCGAAUGGAUAGGUAAGCGAGUGGUCUUUGAUAUCGCUUCGAAAAGUCUUCUCUUUCUUUCCUUUGCGUCGAUAUUUCAUUGCUGACUUAAUCUAGCCUGAAAAUGUAUGGUUGAAGUUAACACUGAGAAUUGCGUUGGAUAAGUUGUUACGGAUGUCGCGAAACUAAAGUUCUUUAGUUUUGUGAAAAAGGAAGCAUAACCAAAGCUAGUUUUCCAAAUGUGUUAGCACCGAGAAAGCCACGAAAGCUUGGAAAAGAGAAGGCGAGAGAGGAAUUUCGACGAAGUUCGAGUAAAACAGUUUCAUGAACGCGACCGACAUAGAACACAUGGUAUGCGAAAAUAGCGAAGGCGGCUUUUAAAAUGUAUUGUUAAUCCUUCCUUUCUGUGCUGGCGUCUGUAUUCUGCUCUCUUGCUUUCGUCCGCGUUGCACUUCGUCGCUUUUUCAAAACGCUUCUCCAAAGUCAAACGAAUAGCUUUAUAAUCAUUGACGAAGUUCGCUGAAAAGAAAAAAGAAAAAAAAAAAGAAAAAAGAGAACGUCAGGGAUGAAAAGCGUAUCGUUUUUUACUCUAAACUAUAUUGUGCGACGUUUACAACGUCGUUCCUUCCAAUAGAUUUUUGUUUCACUUGGUUAGGAAUCACCUAAUUAUUCGUGAAAAUUAUAUUAAUUCGAUAUACCUAUAUACCUUGUUAGAACUAUCGAGUUUUCAACUAUUCUUCGGUUUGUAGUUACUUAACGAAAACUAUCGCCAAUGUUACUCUCAUCUCGGCACGGUCGAUAAGAAGGAAAGUAUUCCUGCUGUGUCGUCACGAAGACGAAGAACUUAAUGAGGAAGCGUCGGGCGCAUUCAGUGGAUUCAAGCAAAUUUCUUGCAUGCCGGCUUAAUUUUAUCCAACAUUUCUUCCUUGCCCAUACACGCGCCUCUCUAUACCAUCCAGCAGCGUCUUUUCUGAGCCGAGCGUCAAAUAAAUUUUGCUCUAUUUAUUCUAUCAAUCUUGUAAAAAGACUUGGACUCGUAGCAUAACUACCAGCUUCGGGCAGAAUCACUUUCAUUAAAGCGAAAGGAUAAUUAAAAUAACAUGACCACUGAUUGCAAUAUUUUCCACGAACAACGCCAAUGAGUUUGCAUGCACGCAUAUGCAAAAAAUGAAGGAGUCGAAUGGAAAAUAAAUAUUUGAGGCUCGACUGUGCACAGCUUAAGACACCGAGCAUGGAGCUCGCUCGAUGCAUUGUUUCACAAGAUUGUAGAGAGGCCUCUUUACGCCACCCCGGCACCGCGUUGCUUCCUGCUGCCGGCUUUUUAAGUAUGCUUAUUUACCGCAAGCCGUCGAAUCAAUCGCUUUGCACGUCGGAGAACGUAGACGCAAGUGGAUGCUAAUAACCUGAAGAAAAUGGUGUUGCUAUAUGUACUGCAUCGCAACUAAUGGAAAAUAUCAUAGGUACGAAUUGCCGUGUAUCUUUUCAUGUUAUUCUUACGAUAAAUUGCAAUUAUUAUUUUGUGCGGACUAGUUGACGCUAAUAACAUCGUAUCGAGGGUUUGAAGUUUAUUCGUAUUUUCUUUCCAAGCGUAUCCUACGAGAUUAAGCGAAAAAAAGGAACAAAUCCAGACAAAAUUCUUUCUCUUUGUACGAAGAAGUCGAACGAUAUUUUAGAUCUGCGGCUCGAGACGCAGCACUGCAUCUCCUAACUAGAUCGUCUCGCACAAUCGUGGAAAAGAAAUAGCGAAUGACGACGUAUUCUCGUAUUCUCGCGUGAGAAUGAUCGAUAUUAAACACGGCAGGAAGCGUCAGGAUGGCUAAGUAGGAGGCUGUAACCAAAUCGAUUAAUCAAAUCCAGUUAGCUAUUACGGGACCAGCGGGACACGUUUGCCCUCUACCCUGAUAUAUUCCCGGCUUCCCAGCGACCGAUGCUUCUCUCUCCUCUAAUUUGUCCUGGAUCUAAUCCGUUCGUAGUGCCCUCGAAUAUCGUGGGAUGUCGCGACCUCCCUCGGGAACUACGCUAGGGAGACACCGUGUUUGCGCAUACAGCCACUUCAGAAGCAAUUGUUUUUAAUCUUCUCGAUGAGAGAACUCGCAAGAUUACGCUUGCUCGUAUACGUCGUCGUUCUAACAAAUUGACCGUCACUCUGAAACGUUUUAUUGGAUUUAAUAUGACAUUGGACAAGGUCGAUCGAACUACUGAAUUUGAGUGUGAGUUUUGCAGAAAACAGAUAGCGUCUGUAGACUAUGUUCUCUCGCAAUUAUUAAUAACUGAAUAUUUUGGGCGCAAGUUUCAGGAUGUCGAGCAUUCCUUUGAAAUUUGCAACUCAAAGUCUUUUUCCAAACUUUCCUCAUUUUCUGUAGUAAAGUAUAUCAAUUUCAAAGUUGCAGUCUGCGACCAAAGCAUACAUCAAACAGGCCGCGACUUGGAGAGUCAGCAGCCAGAAACUUCAACCCCCUUCUUUCGUUCCUCCCAACGUCCUGCCCGCGAUUACGAACAGCGGAACACAAUCAUCCAGGAAAGUAUCUUCCUCAACUGCUGUCAGGAGCACCGAUAAAAGGAAGAAAUCCAGCAACUUCAGAGAAAACUUUGCGGUCUACUCGGCCAGGAGCACAGACUUUGUGCACACAGAGGCACCCGGAGAGGCAGCUCUCGAAACACCCUCUCGCGUGAAAACAGUGGUAGUUUCCUGGCUAAAUAUAUUCACGCCAUGCGUACGUACACGCUGAGACCAGGCAGUGUUAUUUCGCGCACUCACACAACCAACUCUUGGCGAUUACACGAAGAUUCCAUCGCACAUCCCCACACGUUUACGGUGGUUGACGCGAAUGUACGUGUGCGUGUGUUCCGAGUAGCUGAGAAAAUGUGCGUGUGUAUGCAUUGGCUCGUGGAGCAUCGCGGAGAGGGUGGCGAGAGACGGUGGCGAUACUUGGUGGUGGUGGUGGUUGCGAGUUCCUAAGCGAGGGUGUGCGCGGCGCUGUCGGGUUUCAGGGUGGUUGCAGGGUGGUUGCCAUCGGUGUGUGUCGGUGGCAAGCCGGUUACCAGGCAACCGGCAAUAAAGGAGCGUGGAUAGCCAAUGGCGGCCCUCAAUACACCCCUUCGUCUAACACGGCUUGUUUUCCGUGCUUAAGAGCGAGACAGAAGGAGCUUUUGCUUUAGUAGCUGUUAAGACCUUAAACCCGUGGCCUUGCUUGGCUGGCUUGCGCCAGACUGCUCGUAUCUAAUAGAACCUCUUAGAAACCGACGGCCUGUGUUUCUUCGAUAAUUGAUAUUCUAAUCCUGCCUGAUGCUGCCUCUUAUCGUCACUGAUCGAACCCCAUGAAAUUGCGUUUAACGUUUCAUAGACGGGCAACGGCGUCCAUUCAUCGAUAUACUUUUCUUUCGUUUCCGUUAAGUGGACGAUACGAGGCGAUACUCUUUUUCUUUGGUUAUGGUAGGGUCAACAUCUGCCCUUUGGACUCGCCAUUCGUUGAAAUUGCAUUCAACUGGACACCGGACAGAAGACUCGAUCCGGUGAAAACCGGUCGAGAGAAAGGGAGGCUGCCGAACGACGAGUUUACAUCGAGCAAAUGGAAACGCGCGAAGUGUUACGAGACGGAGGGUGGGUCAGAAACGUCGUCACGUUGUUACACAGUGGCCCGUGUGUACGCUAUCCCAUAGGGAGAGCGAAGGUAGCACGUAGCACACCCCUGGGACGUCUUCAGUCGUCACUUGUCCGUAUUAAACCAGGGUACUAAUCCCGAAAUUUAAUUUGAAAAUCUUUUCAUAGCAUCGUCGUUCAUCCCUUCUUCUUGUCCAUCUUUCUCCAGCUCUCCCUUCCGCGUGUUCGCUAUGCACCGCGAAGUCGUUUUAAACCCAGAGAAUUACCCGGUCUUUUGUGCGUCGUAAUUGAAAAUUCGUUUCCGCCCCUUUUCGCGGCUCGGAGAACGGAUAAAUGCCCUUUCGUGGAUUCAUCGAGAGAAAUUACCUCGUCGCCGUGUGAAUGAGACGACCCGUCGUCUUCUUGUCGUCUUCUUCUUGGUCCCGUUCCGCGAGACGCCCGAUUUCCUCGUUUCGGCCUGGCUGCCAUUUUAUAAACGAAACUACGUAAAUACGAGACGAGCUAGUGAAAGCAGCUGGAUGAUUAACGAAACAAAUGCUAGUUUCCUCGCCGUUUUCUUGCUGGUAUCGCAAACAUUGUCAGGAAAAAUUGAACCUGUCCCGUAACAAUGGAUAAUUAAAAACUCAUGGAUUAUCUCGUUAUCGAACAACAGAUUGUUAUCAAGAAAGUAAUUAUAUACUGUCUUAAAUAUCAUUAAAGAAAUGCAACUAAUUAAUAAAUUGUCCUUUGAAAGUUUAUUCAUAAGGUGCAAUCGUUUGUUAGUCAUUCGUAAUUCAGGAUGUGAAAUCGGGUAGUAAUCCCAUCCGAUAUUACGAGUCAAUUUGAUACGUCACCCUUCACUUUGCUCUACCUAUCAUUCCCAGGAAUCAACGCGUGAAAGAUAAAGAUAAUAAGGUGUAUUCGUACAGUUAUUACAAAUUUUUAAAGCAUCACAAAAUACGCAGUGGUAAUUUUAUCACUGGCAAAUAACGAAAACGAUUAUAAAUAAUAAUAAAGUUAAUAUAGAAAUCUCAAAAUGACUCCGUCACUGAUUUCUCUAUCGAUAGUAAGAUUUAUUUCCAUAAAAAUAAAGAAUCAGCUAAGUAACGACA